CCAAAAUUAAACUCACCACCAUCAAUAACCCCACAUACACUAAACAGUACAAAACAAACCAUUUUCCCCUCUUAGUAUGGGAGACAGAAAAGAGCUCCGGCGCAAUAAUAAAAGUACCGCAAGGGAAUGCUGAAAGAGAAAUGAAACAACCCAGUAAAGCCUAAAAAAGCAGAGACUAAACCUCGUACCUUUUGCAUCAUGAUUUAGCUAGCAAAACUUAAGCGAAGAAUACUUUAGUUUAAAUCCCCGAAACUAAGUGAGCUACUUCAAGACAGCCUAUAACAGGGCGCACCCUUCUCUGUGGCAAAAGAGUGGGAAGAUCUUCGAGUAGCGGUGACAGACCUAUCGAACUUAGUUAUAGCUGGUUGCUUGGAAAGUGGAUAAAAGUUCAGCCUUCUGGCUUCUCCCCUCAACUUGGUACUACUCCAACCCGUGGCUUAAGAAACUAGAAGAGUUAGUCAAAGGAGGUACAGCCCCUUUGAAAAAGGACACAACCUUCCCAGGAGGAUAAGGAUCACAACAAACAAGGAUCAUUGUCAAGGUGGGCCUAAGAGCAGCCAUCCCUUUGAAAAGCGUUAAAGCUUAGACGUCAAGUGCAACCUUCAAUUCUGAUAAUUCAAUCUUAACCCCUAACCUUACCGAGCUAUCCCAUGCCCCCAUGGGAGUAAUCCUGCUAAUAUGAGUAAUAAGAGGACCACGACCCUCUCCCCGACACAAGUGUACAUCGGAACGAACCCCCACCGAAAUUUAACGGCCCCAACAAAAGAGGGAACUGGACCACACACACCUGAAACCAGAAAACUAUCCAGCAAUAUAACCGUUAACCCCACACUGGUGUGCCUGAUGGGAAAGGCUAAAAAAGAAAGAAGGAACUCGGCAAACACUCAAGCCUCGCCUGUUUACCAAAAACAUCGCCUCUUGCAAAACUAACGAAUAAGAGGUCACGCCUGCCCAGUGACUCUAAGUUUAACGGCCGCGGUAUUUUGACCGUGCAAAGGUAGCGCAAUCACUUGUCUUUUAAAUGGAGACCUGUAUGAAUGGCAUCACGAGGGCUUAACUGUCUCCUUUCUUAGGCCAAUGAAAUUGAUCUCCCCGUGCAGAAGCGGGGAUAACAACAUAAGACGAGAAGACCCUAUGGAGCUUUAGACACUAAGACAGUUUACGUCAAAUCUCCCUGCAUAAAGAACUGAACUAAAUAAGUCCUGUCCUAAUGUCUUUGGUUGGGGCGACCCCGGGGAGAUAAAGAACCCCUAUGUGGAACGGAAAUAUAUUUCCAAAACCAAGAGCCACCGCUCUAAGAAGCAGAACUUCUGACCAAUCUAGAUCCGGCAAAGCCGAUCAACGGACCGAGUUACCCUAGGGAUAACAGCGCAAUCCCCUUCUAGAGUCCCUAUCGACAAGGGGGUUUACGACCUCGAUGUUGGAUCAGGACAUCCUAAUGGUGCAGCCGCUAUUAAGGGUUCGUUUGUUCAACGAUUAAAGUCCUACGUGAUCUGAGUUCAGACCGGAGUAAUCCAGGUCAGUUUCUAUCUAUGACAUGACCUUUUCUAGUACGAAAGGACCGAAAAGGAAAGGCCAAUGCCUCAAGCACGCCUCACCCUUAUCUAAUGAAAUCAACUAAAAUAGACAAAAGGGCAUUCCCAACAGCCUGAGAGCAUGGCAA
Molecule: ribosomal RNA, 1663 nt
Filed under: Hemigymnus melapterus
Lineage: Eukaryota; Metazoa; Chordata; Actinopteri; Labriformes; Labridae
Description: 16S ribosomal RNA
Rfam family: Bacterial large subunit ribosomal RNA
Source: RNAcentral